AUUUUGUCGUGCAAUGGAUAGAAAUUUUAAUUGAGUUGGAAGGCGAACCGUUUUUGAACGUGUUUAUUGAAAGCGGUCUAACUAAGGAAUCAUUGAAGCUCCUAAAGCCAAGCCAUUUGGAUACAUUGAUCGACACAUCGCAGUUUGGACCAAGGGGAAUAAAAACACAAGCCAUUCACACUGAGGCAUGCGCUUUAUUGGCAAAUGAAUAUCGUGGCGAGG
Anastrepha ludens (Mexican fruit fly) is the source of this 222-nucleotide long non-coding RNA. RefSeq lists it as uncharacterized. The transcript is spliced from 3 exons. The record is from RefSeq and is a predicted model, not a curated record. Lineage: Eukaryota; Metazoa; Arthropoda; Insecta; Diptera; Tephritidae.